This 406-nucleotide ribosomal RNA is filed under the name uncultured bacterium. Its description in RNAcentral is "partial 16S ribosomal RNA". It matches the Rfam family "Bacterial small subunit ribosomal RNA", at positions 30 to 526 of the family's 1533-position model. The record is from RNAcentral.
AUUGAACGCUCGCGGCAGGCCUAACACAUGCAAGUCGAACGAGUGGCGGACGGGUGAGUAAUGUCUGGGAAACUGCCUGAUGGAGGGGGAUAACUACUGGAAACGGUAGCUAAUACCGCAUACCAUCGGAUGUGCCCAGAUGGGAUUAGCUAGUAGGUGGGGUAAAGGCUCACCUAGGCGACGAUCCCUAGCUGGUCUGAGAGGAUGACCAGAAACACUGGAACUAAGACACGGUCCAGACUACGACGGGAGUCAGCAGUGGGGAAUAUUGGACAAUGGGCGCAAGCCUGAUACAGACAUGCCGCGUGUAUGAAGAAGGCCUUCGGGUUGUAAAGUACUUUCAGCGGGGAAGCGUUACCCGCAGAAGAAGCACCGGCUAACUCCGUGCCAGCAGCCGCGGUAAUUC